This 208-nucleotide ribosomal RNA is filed under the name uncultured beta proteobacterium. Its description in RNAcentral is "partial 16S ribosomal RNA". It matches the Rfam family "Bacterial small subunit ribosomal RNA", at positions 568 to 775 of the family's 1533-position model. The record is from RNAcentral. Lineage: Bacteria; Pseudomonadati; Pseudomonadota; Betaproteobacteria.
UGCGCAGGCGGUUGUAUAAGUCAGAUGUGAAAUCCCCGGGCUUAACCUGGGAACUGCAUUUGAGACUGUACGGCUAGAGUGUAGCAGAGGGGGGUGGAAUUCCACGUGUAGCAGUGAAAUGCGUAGAGAUGUGGAGGAACACCGAUGGCGAAGGCAGCCCCCUGGGCUACUACUGACGCUCAUGCACGAAAGCGUGGGGAGCAAACAG